This is a long non-coding RNA of Felis catus (domestic cat), 1435 nucleotides long. RefSeq lists it as uncharacterized. The record is from RefSeq and is a predicted model, not a curated record. The transcript has 3 exons. Lineage: Eukaryota; Metazoa; Chordata; Mammalia; Carnivora; Felidae.
UCUGUAAGUAUAAAAGUUAUUUGGGAGUACAGUGUCCUAACACAGUCCUAAAGGUAGAUUCAAGAACAUCACUAAACCUCCAUAAUAUGCUUAGGACAAAAUAUUCUCAGUAGGUGCAUUUGAGUAAUCUAAGCUACAAUUCCUGGGUUCACUAUAAUAGCAUUCACUAUUAGAAGCAUCCUUGACAGCAGUGGACUAAAUGAAUCUCAUUUUGAUUUAGGCUUAAGUUACAGGGUCAUCUUAAUAUUUAAAGAACAUCUGGUUCAUUCUAAAAGACGUUAACUUGAUGGGAGGAAUCCUUUUACAAGGUUUACAGAUAUAAAAUUUAUGACCCUGUACACUUAAAAUACCUUACGUGUUUUGUCAGUUUUAUCUCAAUAAAACUGAGAGUUCAACAUAUGUGGCAUAAUGGUGGGGGGAAAAAGGCUAAAAUGUAUUGUUUGCUAUGGGCUAAACGUGUCUGAAGGACACAGUUUUUUCCCUAUUCCUGGCAUUUCCUUCCUUAGAGAGGAAUAGCCAUUUGUGAAACACUACUGACCUUUCUCUGCUCCCUUAUUGAUGAUUUAUCUGUUUGACAAGUUAACAGAGGAACCAUAUAGUGUAGUUUAGUGCCCUCUUCCGUACCUUCUCUUAAGAGCCACUCAUUUUGAUCCGUCCCUUCACGCAAUAGGUUUCUCAAGGACAGACUCCUAAAUAGGUUAACCCAAGACUGUUCAUGGCCGCCUGUAGCUAGGUGAGUUCACAGAGCUGUCAACUGCACAAUUCUGGUGUACACCCGCCUCCACCCUGAGUUCUCCAUCAUGAAGGCCCUGUAGAGAGAGAGAGAGAGAGAGAGGCUCCAGGCUCUGAGCUAUCAGCACAGAGCCCAACGCGGGACUCGAAAUCAUGAAUUGUGAGAUAAUGACCUGAGCCGAAGUCGGAUGCCUAACCGAUUGAGCCAUCCAGGCGUCCUGCCAUAUGUUUCUUAAUGGACAAAUAUAUUAUUUUCAACAGUCUCUACCCCUGGGAUGACCUAUUCCAUAGUAACUUUUUCAAUGGGACUUAAGUCAUCUUUACAGUUUUGAAAGAUGGUUAUUUCUGUACAAUAUUCAAGUCUUCACGGGUCUGAAUCUAGUCACCUUUCCAGGACAGAUGACAUGAUUGGUAAAAGCCAGUACUAUAAACUUGAACACAAAAACAACCACAAAAUAAGAAUUUUCCUGACCACAUUAUCGCAAGAUUGGUGAUUCUAAUCAAAUGGAAAAAUUCACCAAAAGUGCUCUUUUUAAACUUAUUUCAUAGGAAUAGUAUUAUUUAGCUUCAUUUUAUACCAACCAUCCCAAACCUUAAGUUUGUGGCAUUGUAUUACUUAGUUGUGUAAUAACUUUACCAAACCUCUGAUAUUUAGCAUCACUACAAAAAUAUUUUAACUAUAAUAAACAUUUAUUUAAACCAA